AAUAAAUCAAGAUGAGAUGUAGAGAUCUGUGGUCAUGUUUGAGAUAUUUUGAACAAAGUUUUUAAUUGAUUUAGGACUAUUUUAUUUUUUUAGAGUAACUUGUUUUUGUAAAGAACUGAGCACUUUUACAGACUCGUGCACAAGAGAAAAUGCAAGAAAAGGUCCAGCAGCCCUAAUGAUGAACAGUAAAUUAACAAUAUUUAGUUUUAGGUUUUGUUUAUCUGUGCAUAUGCAAAAGAUUAAGCCCUAAGCAGAAAUGUAUCCAUACAUUUUAUGUACCCUGUUUUCCAGUGAUAACGUGUCAUUUUCAGUUGUUUUCUUAAGAUGAUGCUCAGGUCCACAACCUGGUACAAAUCAAUGAGGCGAGGCGAUGUGCUUGCUGCAUGGGGUAGCGAGCUGUAUGUGACAUCAUUUCUCACAAAGGGGAAACAACUAAGAGGUCUUUCCAGAUGAAAGAAAAAGAAGUCCAACGUGUGAGCGGCAACUUCUUAAGAGGAAAAUUUAAUCCCAAAGCUGCUGUUUGCCUCAAGAUUUCACCCGUGUGGUCAGUUAGGCCAGAUGUCGGAUAAGUGAAGAAGUUAAGUGGGACUUAAUUUGAAUGCUGAAAUGUGACAGAAUGAAUAUUUCUAUUGUCAUUUUAUACUCUUAAAUAUACAGCUUUGACAUCUGUAAUUAAGUUCCCCUGAGAGCCUGUAUAACUCUCCAUCUUCACAGACCUGAACUCAAACUUAAAGUAUUUUUACCUAAGCAGAAUGUUUCAGCAGAUGGCGCUAUAGUGCAACAGAAAGGUCUAAAACUGUUCCUACAACUACUUAACCAUCUACCAAACCUCAAAAAGUCAAAGUGACAACACAUAUCUAUGAUAUAAAACUGUCCCUGCACUGUUGUUUUGUUUUGUUUUUUUCCAGCCGAGAAUGUGUAUUAUUUCUCAAGUAUUUCCUCCAUGUGUUCAUCAGCUGACUGACACACCAUCCACUUUCUUAUAUUCAAAACAGCCCACCAGCAUAUUUCCCAUGCCUCCUCGGAGCCAUGCAGAGCUCCAGGGAGAGAUGAGGGCUACGUGGGACGUGUCUCCUCACGUCGCCCCCUCUCCCAGUGCCAGCACUACUGGCUCUAAUCCUCCAUGGCGUACCUGGCAGAUCUCUCUGGCGACACCGGCUCUGAGCGCUGCUGGCGUUGUUGCAGCCUGGCCCGGCCCUGCACACCAGCAUCCCCUCUAAUCCUCCCCGCCUGCACCGCCCCGAAGGCCAGCAGCCUGCAGGGAAGUAGGGCAGCGGAGGUGAAGCAGAAAGAGUCAGUCAAUCUCAGUUGUAACUAAACACAGAGAGUUCCUUGGAUUUGUUGCUGUUGGACUCUGUAACCCCCCCCUCCGGUCCUUCCUCCAGCCUCCUCCUCCUCCUCUAUGCAUUGUCACUUUCCCCACGAUGUCAAAGGUCAGGUGUGGGAGAGGGGACUGGGGUCUGAAUGGAGAGCCUGGGGACAGUCUCCGUUAGUGAGGGAUUAAGUUGCUGCUGUGUGGAGAAAGGUGGAGGCAUCGCAGAGUCACACAGACACUCAUCAAUGAGGAUAUUUUGUUAAGAGAAAGAAAAACUCUCACAAAGUCAUGAUAAGCUCCUGGAAACAACAACUGACAACACAUGAACCGGUGAACCCGUAAGUAUUUGUGUCACUUAAGGACAUUUCAUCGACGACCCAGCAGAAGCUGAAACAUCCACUCUUCCCUUUGAGGUUCAACUGAAAUAACUACAAUAAUGUGCAGCAAAUUAUGCGGUGAAUACUGCAAUUCAUGUCAUAUUUUCACUCCAAAUAUUGAUCCCGACAUGAUGAAAGGAACAACUGAGCUUCAGUGUUUGUGCAAAGUCUGAAGGGUCUUUAUCAUUUAAAAAAAAAGUUCAGUCUUAGUGUGUGUGCUUUGGAGGCUUCUAGUUUCAACCUCACUUUAUUGUUAAUGAUAAUACUUCCAAACAAGUUGUGAUGGUACAAAAAAAUGCUCUAACAUACAGGAGCUUUCUUAAUAUUUAAAGUGACAGCCAAGAAACUUCAAAAAUACUGCUCAGUGAAGGUCGAGCGUGCAUGUGCACUUAAAACCAAAACACAUUUUCAUUGCUUAUUAUUGAAUACGUUCUGUUUCCAGAUUGAUGGUGAGCCUGAGAAUAGUAGAGGAGUAGAAGUUAGGGGGACACCUCAGUUCUUACCAUUUCAUGUCAUUCAAUGAAACCUUUAUUGCCCUGAGGGGAAUCUGUCUUCAACCAAGAGCAUAAAAAACACAAAACAACCAUACAGGAAAAAAAAUAUAAACAGGAAUCUCAUAUCAUCAGUCCAACAUUUUCCUGCUGCCAUCUUUUUAUUCCAUCCUGCUUGUAACUUCUUCUUGGGCCAAUUACCUUUAGUUCACAUUGCCCUCCUUUAUGUAACAUGCGCCAUUAUGACGAGUCCUGCAGUGGUGACUCAAAGAGGUUGAAUUAGCAGGCGACUAGUUUGGCACCAGUGAUUUAAUAAUUGUAUCACACAAGUCAGGACUACGAUAUAUUGCUGUAUUGAUAUUUUAAACCUCCCUAGUCAGAACAGAUCUGUCGUGAACUACAGGAGCUUGGACAAAGUGGUCGUCCUGCCAGAUCGCUACUUCAGCAUAUUGCAGAAUUACCUGCGCAGAGAUGUGAAGAAUGGUUAUCGUUAGCAGGUUCUGUUGGGCCCUGGCCUCCAGAGCGUUGUUCCACACAUACAGAGUGACACUGUUGAGUAAGUUUGUCCUUUACCCUGACCCUCACAACUGCGGCAACUUGUAAAGCAGUCGGUCCAGAGAUCAGAAACAGAGAGCACAAAUCAUUAUUUCUACUUCUAAAAUAUGAACAUCAAACGCAGCGUUCCUUCAAAGGCCUCACAAACCGCCAAGAUGAAAGCUGCUGUUUGUGGUGGCAUCUUUUCAAAACGAUUGUCUUUGGUCAGUUACCGUGACAUCUCGUCCAUCUCCUCCGUCCCCAGGCCUUAAAAAUCCAAAUUCCUGUUAAAGAAUGUGGCGAGUGCGUUUAAUGAAGCCAAGCCGUGGCUCCGCUAAUGAGUCAAGUCCAGUAAUGGCCGGAAUCCCUCGUCAGACAAAGCAGCCAAAUACCUGAUGGCUACCAAUCAUGUUCUCUUCUUCAUGGGAAAAAAUGCACGCAGUUUAUUUUGCUGUCUUUCAUGUCCCCAAUUAAGAGGGACAGUUGAGGGCAGAUUGCUCCAAUGCAGAUGGAGUUAAGGUGAAACACAGGCCAUACCGUCAUUAAAGAUGAAUCAUUUAAUUGACUUUUCAUAAAGACGGAUGAGUGUUUAUGAUUAACAGCAAAUGAAACAAUGAAAAGUUCACGGUAAAGGCUUACAUGGGACGAGUAUUGACAACCACAAACCCUAUAUUAGAAAUGGACGUGGCCUCUUUACUGAAGUGAAGCUGAUGUCAGAUUUACAACUUAAAUUACUAACAAGAAAAAUCAUAUCAGAGAAAAAAGAGGCCUCUUGAAAUGCAGCCUGAAUUGUUGAUUUUAAUUGAAGUCCUGCCUCUUUUAAUGGCCUGAGGAAGAUCUUGUAGAUUGUAACGUUGCCCUGUCUAAAUAAAAUUGGGUCAAAAAUAAAAUUAAAUUUUGGGGUGGCCAAUCCAUUUCAAAGUGGGCCCAUGCCACCCCUCUGGACACGCCCCUGGUCCCAGAGGCCUGUAGAGAGAAACUGUAACGACCAAAUGCCCACUCUGGGAUUAAUAGAGUAUUUCUGAUUCUGAUUCUGAUUCUUAUUCUGAUUUUUCUUGAAACCAGAAGAGCUGUUAUGUGCAGAAGAUAUUAUCUUAUUUGAUGUCUGAGAUGCUAUUUCUCUCCACAUGCAGGAGCAGCAACACGUCCAUGAUGAGUGCGUCCACAUGCCACAGAGAUACCAAUUAGAAAUGCUGACGCAGCAGUGACGCUCGGGGCAGAAAAUGUCUUUUGAUCAUCGCAACAAAAGGCCAAAUGACUUGUGUAAACAGAGCAGAUAUCUUAGUCUGCAUGUGCAUGAAAAGAACUAUUAUAAACUGUUUAUUUGUUGCUCCAACUUCACAGGAGUCGAGCGCUAUUUCUACUGACACAAAGAUAGAAAACAGAAUUACCUGAAAGUGAUGGUGUGGUUAUGACAUAAGAAAUGACAAACGAUGUCACAAUAAACGAACAUUUUGCUCAA
Labrus bergylta (ballan wrasse) is the source of this 4179-nucleotide non-coding RNA. The record is from RefSeq and is a predicted model, not a curated record. Lineage: Eukaryota; Metazoa; Chordata; Actinopteri; Labriformes; Labridae.